CAGCCGCCGCGGGAAUACGAAGGGGGCUAGCGUUGCUCGGAAUGACUGGGCGUAAAGGGCGCGUAAGCGGUUUAUACAGUCAGAUGUGAAAUUCCUGGGCUCAACCUGGGGACUGCAUUUGAUACGUAUGGACUUGAGUGGAGAAGAGGGUUGUGGAAUUUCCAGUGUAGAGGUGAAAUUCGUAGAUAUUGGAAAGAACACCGGUGGCGAAGGCGGCAACCUGGUCUUUAACUGACGCUGAGGCGCGAAAGCGUGGGGAGCAAACAGGAUUAGAUACCCCCGUAGUCCCUGUCUCUUAUAC
This 301-nucleotide ribosomal RNA is filed under the name uncultured bacterium. Its description in RNAcentral is "partial 16S ribosomal RNA". It matches the Rfam family "Bacterial small subunit ribosomal RNA", at positions 509 to 807 of the family's 1533-position model. The record is from RNAcentral.